AAAAUCAUAUUUGUGGAGAAGAUUCUUUGGAUGCGUUUCUCAGUUAUUCCGUGCCAUUUGCUACGAACGGUUUGCCGAUCAGCACCUAAAGCUCCACAGCUGCACCCAGAAAAACAACAACAUCAUCAACAACAACAACAAGCAACAACAUGAAUGAAGCUAGGAGUUUGUUCACCACCUUCCUCAUCCUGGCAUUCUUGCUCUUCCUGCUCUAUGCCUUCUACGAAGCCGCUUUCUAAAUAUGUUCAUGUUUUUGGGAAUACUCUUAGUUCAAACGAUAUACUUACAUGUUGAAUUUCAAUUUCAAUUCCAACACAACAAUUUAUAAAUCAACACUUAUGCCUAGGAUUUGUAGAGCGUUACGCGUUUAAGCCGCUAGCAUUUAAUGGAUUUCUCUUAGUACCCUAAGUCAGAUGACGUCACAGCCGCAGGCGGAAAGCAGCUGCUCGGUUCGGAGGCUUGACAUCAACCAACGGCCUGCAACGGAGCGAGUGUAUGUGACGUGUGCUGUGCUUGAUUAAGCGAAUGUUUCGGUCCAUUUGGGUUAUCGAUAAAUGAUGUGAUCGAAAUGGCACGCUGCGCCGCGCCGUUUCAACGUUGGCCUGGGAGCUUUGGCGUCAUCUGUUCUAAUCAUAAAUAUUAAUUUUGCAAUUUUCGUUUCGCAAUGGAAUUAAUCGAAUUUUGAAUUUACAAUUUAUAGACCAUAAUGUACAGUAUGAUAAGUGUGCAAUAGCAAGACAACAACAACAGCACAAUGCGCACAUAGAGAAAUUGUAUAUUUCAUUGUUUAACACUUUGCACACAUAAUAUCUAAGAUCUUUAUUUAAUAAUUGCAUUUUUCGUAAAUAACAACAACAAUACCAGCAACAAAUGCAUAACAAUAACAACCAAAUGCAGGAAUAAAAAAAACAACAAAAACAA
This is an RNA transcript of Drosophila albomicans, 921 nucleotides long. RefSeq lists it as uncharacterized. The transcript has 4 exons. The record is from RefSeq and is a predicted model, not a curated record. NCBI's taxonomy places the organism in Eukaryota, Metazoa, Arthropoda, Insecta, Diptera, Drosophilidae.